Molecule: ribosomal RNA, 578 nt
Filed under: Trigonopterus kurulu
Lineage: Eukaryota; Metazoa; Arthropoda; Insecta; Coleoptera; Curculionidae
Also listed under: 1 other name
Description: SSU rRNA
Rfam family: Eukaryotic small subunit ribosomal RNA
Source: RNAcentral
GUCAUAUGCUUGUCUCAAAGAUUAAGCCAUGCAUGUCUCAGUACAAGCCAAAUUAAGGUGAAACCGCGAAAGGCUCAUUAAAUCAGUUAUGGUUCCUUAGAUCGUACCCACAAUUACUUGGAUAACUGUGGUAAUUCUAGAGCUAAUACAUGCAAACAGAGCUCCGACCGGAGACGGAAGGAGCGCUUUUAUUAGAUCAAAACCAAUCGGUGGCGAGCUCGCUCGUCAUCGUACAACUUGGUGACUCUGAAUAACUUUACGCUGAUCGCACGGUCGUCGCACCGGCGACGCAUCUUUCAAAUGUCUGCCUUAUCAACUGUCGAUGGUAGGUUCUGCGCCUACCAUGGUUGUAACGGGUAACGGGGAAUCAGGGUUCGAUUCCGGAGAGGGAGCCUGAGAAACGGCUACCACAUCCAAGGAAGGCAGCAGGCGCGCAAAUUACCCACUCCCGGCACGGGGAGGUAGUGACGAAAAAUAACGAUACGGGACUCAUCCGAGGCCCCGUAAUCGGAAUGAGUACACUCUAAACCCUUUAACGAGGAUCAAUUGGAGGGCAAGUCUGGUGCCAGCAGCCGCGG